Molecule: ribosomal RNA, 262 nt
Filed under: uncultured archaeon
Lineage: Archaea
Description: partial 16S ribosomal RNA
Rfam family: Archaeal small subunit ribosomal RNA
Source: RNAcentral
UAGCCGUAAACGAUACUCGCUAGGUGUCGGCCACGGUGCGACCGUUGUCGGUGCCGUAGGGAAGCCGUGAAGCGAGCCACCUGGGAAGUACGGCCGCAAGGCUGAAACUUAAAGGAAUUGGCGGGGGAGCACCACAACGGGUGGAGCUUGCGGUUUAAUUGGAUUCAACGCCGGAAAUCUUACCGGGACCGACAGCAACAUGAAGGCCAAGCUGAAGACCUUUGCCGGAUUAGCUGAGAGGAGGUGCAUGGCGUAGUCGUGU